ACGCUGGCGGCAGGCCUAACACAUGCAAGUCGAGCGGCAGCACGGGUGCUUGUACCUGGUGGCGAGCGGCGGACGGGUGAGUAAUGCCUAGGAAUCUGCCUGGUAGUGGGGGAUAACGCUCGGAAACGGACGCUAAUACCGCAUACGUCCUACGGGAGAAAGCAGGGGACCUUCGGGCCUUGCGCUAUCAGAUGAGCCUAGGUCGGAUUAGCUAGUUGGUGAGGUAAUGGCUCACCAAGGCGACGAUCCGUAACUGGUCUGAGAGGAUGAUCAGUCACACUGGAACUGAGACACGGUCCAGACUCCUACGGGAGGCAGCAGUGGGGAAUAUUGGACAAUGGGCGAAAGCCUGAUCCAGCCAUGCCGCGUGUGUGAAGAAGGUCUUCGGAUUGUAAAGCACUUUAAGUUGGGAGGAAGGGCAUUUACCUAAUACGUAAGUGUUUUGACGUUACCGACAGAAUAAGCACCGGCUAACUCUGUGCCAGCAGCCGCGGUAAUACAGAGGGUGCAAGCGUUAAUCGGAAUUACUGGGCGUAAAGCGCGCGUAGGUGGUUUGUUAAGUUGAAUGUGAAAUCCCCGGGCUCAACCUGGGAACUGCAUCCAAAACUGGCAAGCUAGAGUAUGGUAGAGGGUGGUGGAAUUUCCUGUGUAGCGGUGAAAUGCGUAGAUAUAGGAAGGAACACCAGUGGCGAAGGCGACCACCUGGACUGAUACUGACACUGAGGUGCGAAAGCGUGGGGAGCAAAC
Molecule: ribosomal RNA, 747 nt
Filed under: uncultured bacterium
Lineage: Bacteria
Description: bacterial SSU rRNA
Rfam family: Bacterial small subunit ribosomal RNA
Source: RNAcentral